GACGAACGCUGGCGGCGUGCUUAACACAUGCAAGUCGAACGGAAAGGCCCUGCUUUUGUGGGGUGCUCGAGUGGCGAACGGGUGAGUAACACGUGAGUAACCUGCCCUUGACUUUGGGAUAACUUCAGGAAACUGGGGCUAAUACCGGAUAGGAGCUCCUGCUGCAUGGUGGGGGUUGGAAAGUUUCGGCGGUUGGGGAUGGACUCGCGGCUUAUCAGCUUGUUGGUGGGGUAGUGGCUUACCAAGGCUUUGACGGGUAGCCGGCCUGAGAGGGUGACCGGCCACAAUGGGACUGAGAUACGGACCAGACUCCUACGGGAGGCAGCAGUCGGGAAUAUUGCACAGUGGGCGGAAGCCUGAUGCAGCAACGCCGCGUGCGGGAUGACGGCCUUCGGGUUGAGAACCGCUUUCGACUGUGACGAAGCGUGAGUGACGGUAAUGAGUAAAGAAGCACCGGCUAACUACGUG
RNAcentral lists this ribosomal RNA (468 nucleotides) under uncultured bacterium. Its description in RNAcentral is "partial 16S ribosomal RNA". It matches the Rfam family "Bacterial small subunit ribosomal RNA", at positions 28 to 507 of the family's 1533-position model. The record is from RNAcentral.